Long non-coding RNA from Rosa rugosa (rugosa rose), 772 nucleotides. RefSeq lists it as uncharacterized. The transcript has 3 exons. NCBI's taxonomy places the organism in Eukaryota, Viridiplantae, Streptophyta, Magnoliopsida, Rosales, Rosaceae. The record is from RefSeq and is a predicted model, not a curated record.
UCUCUCUCUCUCUCUCGUCCGAUAAAGGACGAAGAUUAAGCCGUCGAGAGCCAUCGAUUUCUUCUUCUCCCAAAAGCCUUGAGAGCCGGACCUUCCUUUGUCUCAUUUCUCCUCCCAAGCACCGCCGCGAUGACGUCGACCGAGACGGAGGACGCCGUCGCACCGCCAUCACCGAUUACCAAGAGCUCGAGUCCUGAGUUUGCGAAGGUCAGAUUCGUACUCCAAAUCUUCCUUAUUCAUGUUUGAUUCUACAACCGGAGAGCGUUUCUCUCGCCAUCGGCGAACCAGUUCACAAGCAAUUCGAAAGUCCAGAGAGCUUCAUCUGCGCCUGAAGAAGUGAGAUCUUAUCAUUGACGAUUCAGCUCUCGCAGGAUCGGAAGCACCAUACAAAUUCAAAGGUGGAAGAAUCAAAUUGGAAGAGCAGAAAGAUGGAAAUGCAGCAAUAUUGUGCACAUGAAUCGAAGUCCAUCUUAGGUGCAAAUAGCUGAUUCUGAAAAUUCUAAAGGCGGCUUUGACUGCAACAUCUGCUCAGACUUUGCACACGAGCCAAUGGUCAUCCUCUGUGGCCAUCUGUACUGCUGGCCUUGCAUCUACAAAUGGCUUCACGUCCAGAGCGCCUCCAUUGCGUCUGAUGAGUGCCCUCAGUGCCCUGUGAUUGCUUCCACAGCAUUUGUUUGUAUACUGCUUAACUUUUUAUACAAGUGAAGGUUCUCUUAUGAAAUUGCAACAAGCAAAGAAUUAGACAUAUUUGUUAUUCGUUUUUAUUUAUAAA